This 520-nucleotide ribosomal RNA is filed under the name Microhyla ornata (ornate rice frog). RNAcentral's name for it is "partial 16S ribosomal RNA". It matches the Rfam family "Bacterial large subunit ribosomal RNA", at positions 1856 to 2592 of the family's 2925-position model. The record is from RNAcentral. Lineage: Eukaryota; Metazoa; Chordata; Amphibia; Anura; Microhylidae.
AGCCUGCCCAGUGACUAAGUUAAACGGCCGCGGUACCCUAACCGUGCAAAGGUAGCGCAAUCACUUGUUCUUUAAAUGAGGACUAGUAUGAACGGCAUCACGAGGGUUAUACUGUCUCCCUAUUCCAAUCAGUGAAACUGAUCUUCCCGUGAAGAAGCGGGAAUAAAUAUAUAAGACGAGAAGACCCCAUGGAGCUUUAAACUCAGUACCACCUGCUAUUUUCAAAUCCUAUUAAUCACGCAGACAUGGUAACUAGUUUUCGGUUGGGGUGACCGCGGAGCAAAACAAAACCUCCACAACGAAAGGAACUAACAUCCUAAUCCAAGAGCAACAUCUCUAAGAAUUAAAAAAUUAACUUAAUUGAUCCAAUUACUUGAUCAACGAACCAAGUUACCCUGGGGAUAACAGCGCAAUCCAUUUAAAGAGCUCUUAUCGACAAAUGGGUUUACGACCUCGAUGUUGGAUCAGGGUAUCCCAGUGGCGCAGCAGCUACUAAAGGUUCGUUUGUUCAACGAUUAAA